RNAcentral lists this ribosomal RNA (531 nucleotides) under uncultured bacterium. RNAcentral's name for it is "bacterial SSU rRNA". It matches the Rfam family "Bacterial small subunit ribosomal RNA", at positions 979 to 1509 of the family's 1533-position model. The record is from RNAcentral.
CCUUGACAUCCAGAGAACUUAGCAGAGAUGCUUUGGUGCCUUCGGGAACUCUGAGACAGGUGCUGCAUGGCUGUCGUCAGCUCGUGUUGUGAAAUGUUGGGUUAACGUCCGCAACGAGCGCAACCCUUAUCCUUUGUUGCCAGCGGUUCGGCCGGGAACUCAAAGGAGACUGCCGGUGAUAAACCGGAGGAAGGUGGGGAUGACGUCAAGUCAUCAUGGCCCUUACGGCCAGGGCUACACACGUGCUACAAUGGCGCAUACAAAGAGAAGCGACCUCGCGAGAGCAAGCGGACCUCAUAAAGUGCGUCGUAGUCCGGAUUGGAGUCUGCAACUCGACUCCAUGAAGUCGGAAUCGCUAGUAAUCGUAGAUCAGAAUGCUACGGUGAAUACGUUCCCGGGCCUUGUACACACCGCCCGUCACACCAUGGGAGUGGGUUGCAAAAGAAGUAGGUAGCUUAACCUUCGGGAGGGCGCUUACCACUUUGUGAUUCAUGACGUGGGGUGAAGUCGUAACAAGGUAAGCGUACGUGU